Molecule: long non-coding RNA, 1487 nt
Organism: Oncorhynchus tshawytscha (Chinook salmon)
Lineage: Eukaryota; Metazoa; Chordata; Actinopteri; Salmoniformes; Salmonidae
Exons: 8
Source: RefSeq, a predicted model, not a curated record
UCACCCGUGAUGUGAUUAAUUAUAUAUAGUAAUAGCUAUUAUCUAAUUCAUAUUGUAGUUUACGUCAGCCGAGAAUUAGAAAAUAUGACUGCUUGUGUUGGGUCAAUCUUUCCUCAGCGCUAGGACAAAUGUAGCCUACAUUUUUCCGGUUAGGAUGAUUGUGUUAUGCUAUAUUUACUUCUGUGAAUAUCUGAACAAUGCAUCCAAAAAUAAACUGCUGACAUUCUGGACAUAACUUUGUAAGGACUGUGUUUGUGUAAAUAGUUUCUGAAAAAAGUGUGGCCAGCUCAAACGCUGAUUGUUGAGUCAUUCGAAACUGCCGUUCUAAACGAGCAUUCUAAAUGAGUGUUCUAAACACACGGGUGUGAUCGUACGCUUCAGGGACCACUGUAGAACGAUCACACCCGUGUGAUGGUACGUGUUUAAUUUCUUUAAACAAUAAAAGCUUAUUUACCAACAUUUCCUUAAAUGGAUAUAUAGCGUUUAGUAAUUCAACUCUUCAUCCCAUCAUGCUCACUCAUUAUGUUUCUACCUCUACCUGCAUGUGGUGCUUAGCAGCAACCUGGGUCUAGCCCUGUCAUCCGGACAGCUGAAGCGGCUGAGAGACAUGGUGGUGAAACAGAGUGGAGCUGGGAAACAUGGCGGCCAGAGUGACAGCUAAUGAGAGCCAGGUGGAGGAUCACUGGAGAGUGAAAAUACAGAAUUCCGGUCCAAGCAGCAGAACUGUCAACCAUGGGAGCCAGAGUGACAGCUAGUGAGAGAGAGGUGGAGGGGCUGAAGAGUGAGAAAACAGGUUUGGAGGCCAGACUCAGUGCCAGUGAGAGCCAGGUGGAGGAGCUGAAAGGAGAGGUGGAGGAGCUGAAAGGAGGGUGGAGGAGCUGAAAGGAGAGGUGGAGGAGCUGAAAGGAGAGGUGGAGGAGCUGAAAGGAGAGGUGGAGGAGCUGAAAGGAGAGGUGGAGGAGCUGCAGAAAGGUGGUGAACCAGAGAGUGGAGAUGAGUCACUAAGACUGAACUGCACUUCCACAAAAACAAGGUGGAGGAACUGGAGAGAGAAAAUGCAGGAAUGGAGGCCAGAGUGACAGCCAGGUGGAGAAGCUGAAGACAGAGAAUGCAGUCCAAGCAGCAGCACUGUCAGCCAUGGGGGCCAGAGUGACAGCCAGUGAGACAGAGGUGGAGGAUCUGACAGAUAAUGCAGGGUUCUUCUUGUGGUACUCCGAGAUGCGGCUCUCCAUGACCGGACGGAAGUGGCGAACCAGACCCUAAACAAGGAAGAGAAGGGUGGAGUGACGGAGAUUUGUCCAUGACGAUGACGGCGGCGGUGCCCAGAGCGGACUCUGCGCGGACGAGGUCAUCAAAAUCCAUCAUGACAUCAUCACACACAGAGCGAGGGAUAAUGGGUGUGGAGGAGCCUCCAGGGAUCACUCCCAGACCUGAGCCCUAGGACCAUGCCCCAGGACUACCUGACAUGAUGACUCCUUGCUGUCCCC